Molecule: long non-coding RNA, 2948 nt
Filed under: Homo sapiens (human)
Lineage: Eukaryota; Metazoa; Chordata; Mammalia; Primates; Hominidae
Description: HSALNT0293420
Source: RNAcentral
UAAAGUAUAAUAAUAAAAAUAAAAAUAAAAAUAAAUUAACUAUACUGUUUCUCAACCUCCUGUUUUCUCACAGAAGCACCAGUCAGGCUUUUGUCUCCACACAUAUAUUGCCUUAUAUUGGUUGCUGAUGACUCCAUAUUGCUAAAUCAAUGGUCAGUGCACUACUACAAAUUUACUUGACCCCUCAGAAGAAUGUGGAACAGGUGACCACUUUCUUUUUCUUGAAACUCUGUCUUUACUAGGCCUUUCCAUACCCGACUCUUGGAUUUCUCUCCUACCUCAUUUGACCCUCCUUUCAUUUUCCAUUGCCUCUUCCUUUUCAUGAUGUCUAAAUUUUAGAGUACCCUGGGACAUGAUCUUCUGUCCUCUUUUCUUCUGUAUCUACACUUAUCUCAUAGAUAAUCUUAUCUAAUCACAAGACUUCCAGUAUCACAAUAGUGGCUACAUUUAUAUCUCUAGCCUAAACUCUCCCCUGGACAUUCAACUUGAUGCAUAUAUGACCUCUUCAACUGAAUAUUAAAUUGGAUCUCAAAUGAAACUUAUUGUUCCUUUAUAACCUGUGGGUGGGCAGGAGGCUGGAUGUAUGUGUCUCUGCUUUGCUUUCUCAACAGAUUUCUUCAUUUCAGUAAUUGGCACAUCUUUGAAGCAGCUGUCCAGUGGUUCUUGGAGCCUCACUGCUAAACCGUCAGUAAGAAAAAUACUGACUCUGCAAAACCAAAUACAUCUGGAAUCCGAAUCCUCUUGCAAAACUCUGAGCAGUGAUAUCCAACCUUUCUGGCACCCAGAGACCACCGGACCUCCUUUUCUACAAUCAAGCCAAACCAGUUCCUGUUGUUGGUGCCAAGAUAGACUACAGCUGGAAAUUCCCCAAAUGACCAACAGAUCACCUGGUGCCAACUGACUGACCACCAGGAAGAGCGACUAUUGACUUUGGGCUUAAAAGUCAUCUAAUCCACACUGUUUCUCACUCCCCUGACUACCCUCCUCUGCCCUGAGGUUUUUUUGCCUUUAUAAUCUCCUAUUCACUGACCCUGCCUGAGAGCAUGAUUUCUUUUUACACCAGGGGCUGCAUCUCCCCAAUCUGCAAAUUGUUUCUUAUGGAAAAUGAAGCUUUCUCUUUUCCUUCCACAGAUCUCAUGGUCUUUUGUUACAAGGAACCUGUCUCAAGACAGUCAUACUCUGUUAAUUCACUAUAACACUAAGAACCUCAAUGGAGUUCAGGUCUAUGAGAAUGAUUCAUUCAUAACAUCUAUCACCUUAAAAUUUAUUGACUAGGGCCUAAGGCACAACUGCCUUGCCCUGGGCUGAAUUCUACCCUAGGGCAGAGUUUUCGGUGGCCUCGGUGUACUCUUAGUAGUAUUUCUACUAAAAAGCCAACAUAGAGGGCAUAGACUCCAAGCCUUAGAGACUCAAACAAGAAACAACAUUUGACCAUUCCAUGCCCUCCAAAUCUAUUGGAUGCCACCAAACAAAGGCAAAAAAAAAAGCAGAUUUCAUAACACGAAAAACAAUAUAUUCUCUAUCUUUCAGCAUUGUGAGGGAAGGUGUCUGGUCUGGAAUCAUUUCUCAGUAUAAUGCACACCCCAAAGCAGCUUAACACAGCGGUAAGCCUAGAUGAAAGCAUUCAUGUCAAUUACAUGGAAAUGUUCUUUCACCAAGAUUGAGAAGCCACACUUGGGACAUUCAGUCCUCUAGACAAAAUGUAUUUGAAAUGGAAACUGAGAAAGCAAAGAGAAGCAUUUGUUCCUUUCCAGGUGAGAGGCAAGAGAAAGUCUUGUGUAAGAUAGCUGCUAGAAAUCCAGGCUGUUCUCUUCAGAACUCUCGUUCUCAGAUUUGCUAGGGUCUUUCCUUUGGUAGAAAGAGCUGAUUGCACUUCUAAAGGCAGCUUGACCUUUGCCCCAUCCCACUAGCUGAAUGAAACCAAGAAAGACUGCUUGAAUGCUUACACCCCUAAAGCGGAUUUGUAUUUAUAAAGUAGCCAAAGCUGUACUUGGCAAUGAUUUCACAAACAGAGAGACAAAUUCACAGGAGUGAGAAUAACUCUCUCACAAACUUUACCAUACUUUACACUUUGUUGGGAAGUCAGCAGAGAACUUCACACUUCAUUGAAAAUCCAUUAAACAAUUACCAGGUCAUUAGCACAGACUUUGAAGUACUAGCUUUCAAACUCCCUUACUAAAGAAAGCUCUUUGCUAGACCUUCAGCUGCCUUUGCAAGUGUAGUCCUAAGGAGCUUUAACAGAUAACCAAAACAGACAAACAUUAAAAAAAAAAAAAAAAGUGUACUCACUGAAAAAUAAAACAAAGCAUCAUGCAUGAAUCAUUUAAUGAAUCAAUUAUAUAACAGUAUAUGUUACAUAAUACUGUCAUAUGUAUUACUGUCUCUCAAUUGUAUCUGGAUAAGUAAAGUAGAUAAUCCGUAAAUGUUGGUUGAUUCAGGAAUAUGUUUCCCUAGACAAUCACAAACAACUACUGAGUGACUACCAAGGCUUUACUGCUUUUGUGCCAACCACCCUCAUUUGUAUCUCUAGCCCAGAUCUCUUCCUUGAACACCAAACUAGCAUUUUCUACUAUUCACUUGGCAUCUCAUCUGGAUGUCUACUAAACCUCUCAAACACAAUAUGCUCAAAACUGAACUCUUGAUCUUUACCGAAACCUGCUCUCCACCUCAGGUACUGGCAAUUCCAUUCUUCCAAUAGCUGAAAUCAGUGUUUUUUUUUUCUUUUCGUCUUUACUGAAGUAUAAAAGACAGAUGAUAAACUGCACAAAUCUAAAGUAUGCAAUUUGAGAAGUUUUGAUAUAUGUAUACAUGUCAAGACAGUAAACAUAUCCAUCAUCUGCAAACAUGAAACUUGUCCUUGAGUCCCGUUGUAAUCUCUCCUUCCUCUCCCUCAACACUUUCUCCCAUUUCUCUUACGAGGCAACCACUGAUCUGCUUUUUCUCACUAU